UGCUCCACCCAAGAAAGAUGGCAUCUGUGGUGUGAGAAAGUGACUCAGCACAGGGAUCCUGAUGGCUGUCCCUUCAGCUCUCUCCUUGGAGGCACAAUCUCCAGAAUCUCCUCACGUGGCACUCAUCUGCUUCUACUUCCAUCUGCUGGAGCCCAGGAGGCUGUGAAGUCCAAGAUUAAGGUGCUGGCAGAUUCAGUUCCUGGCAAGAACUCUCUUCCUGGCUUGCAGGACUGGACAACUACUCGAAAAGCAAGAACAGAAUGUGACUAACUGCUCCCCCUCAAGAGCUGCAGGCAAAAGACAACUUUGGAGCAAACUGCAGCUUAUCCAGAACCAACCAAAACCUCCUGCAUUGCUAUGCCCCUAACAGCCCAGCAGCCACACAACAGCAAUCUCCCCUACCCUUUUAAAAUCCAAUAAAAACUCAAAGCUCUGACAUCUUGCUGCUGGUGUAUCCCUCCACACUUAAGCCUCUUUCUUCUCCUGGAUAGUGAAUAAAACUUUGCUCUCUGCAUUUCUUCUCUUUGUAAAUUCUUUCACAGCCCACAUA
Molecule: long non-coding RNA, 550 nt
Organism: Pteronotus mesoamericanus
Lineage: Eukaryota; Metazoa; Chordata; Mammalia; Chiroptera; Mormoopidae
Exons: 3
Source: RefSeq, a predicted model, not a curated record